GCUCCGAUGGCCUUGUGCUUUGAGCGUUCGCCUCGGAUGCAAAAGGUCGCGGGUUCGAACCCCAUUCGAGUCA
Molecule: non-coding RNA, 73 nt
Organism: Potamilus streckersoni
Lineage: Eukaryota; Metazoa; Mollusca; Bivalvia; Unionida; Unionidae
Source: the annotation of a GenBank genome assembly